GUGGGGAAUAUUGGACAAUGGGCGCAAGCCUGAUCCAGCCAUGCCGCGUGAGUGAUGAAGGCCUUAGGGUUGUAAAGCUCUUUCAGUGGGGACGAUAAUGACGGUACCCACAGAAGAAGCCCCGGCUAACUUCGUGCCAGCAGCCGCGGUAAUACGAAGGGGGCUAGCGUUGUUCGGAUUUACUGGGCGUAAAGCGCACGUAGGCGGAUCGUUAAGGCGGGGGUGAAAUCCUGGAGGUCAACUCCAGAACUGCCUUCGAUACUGGCGAUCUUGAGUCCGGAAGAGGUGAGUGGAACUCCUAGUGUAGAGGUGGAAUUCGUAGAUAUUAGGAAGAACACCAGUGGCGAAGGCGGCUCACUGGUCCGGUACUGACGCUGAGGUGCGAAAGCGUGGGGAGCAAACAGGAUUAGAAACCCCAGUAGUCC
RNAcentral lists this ribosomal RNA (425 nucleotides) under uncultured bacterium. RNAcentral describes it as "partial 16S ribosomal RNA". It matches the Rfam family "Bacterial small subunit ribosomal RNA", at positions 354 to 796 of the family's 1533-position model. The record is from RNAcentral.